GAUGAAGAACGUAGCGAAUUGCGAUACUUGGUGUGAAUUGCAGAAUCCCGUGAACCAUCGAGUCUUUGAACGCAAGUUGCGCCUCAAGCCAUUAGGUUGAGGGCACGUCUGCCUGGGCGUCACAUAUCGUUGCCUGAUGCCAGUUUCCUCGUGAUGGGUGACUGUGCAGGGCGAAUGAUGGCUUCCCGUGAGCAUUGUUGCCUCAUGGUUGGUUGAAAAUUGAGUCCUUGGUAGGGAGCGCCGUGAUAGAUGGUGGUUGAGUGACGAACGAGACCCAAUCAUGUGAGACCCCUACCGAAUUUGGCCUUCAUGACCCACAUGCGUCUUUGGAACGCUCAUGACGAGACCUCAGGUCAGGCGGGGCUACCCGCUGAGUUUAAGCAUAUCAAUAAGCGGAGGA
This 400-nucleotide unclassified non-coding RNA is filed under the name soil metagenome. Its description in RNAcentral is "partial contains 5.8S ribosomal RNA, internal transcribed spacer 2, and large subunit ribosomal RNA". The stretch from base 1 to 122 matches the Rfam family "5.8S ribosomal RNA", at positions 35 to 154 of the family's 154-position model. The record is from RNAcentral.